UUACACCUUAAAAAAUAAAUUAUGUCAAAUACUGUAAAAAUCAGUCUCCAAACAUAAAAAUUCAAACAAUGAAAAUUUGACAUUUUUAAAAAAGUAAAACACUGAAUUAUUUGUGGUAUAAUGUAAACACCAUUAAUAGGAAUCAAAGAACAAUGCCCAUUGAUCAGAUUUCACAAUGCAACCAUGAAAACAGGAGACAUUUAUUUAAAAGCAAUUUUUUCAGGCUUUCAAGACAACAGCUUUUAAAGUCUAUUUAGUAUAGUCAUUUGGUUUAUAUAAGACCAUAACCUCAUUACUGAUAAUUUCACUUUCAAAUAGUUAACACAGAUUAAAUGCACCUAUCAAAAACUGGGCUUCUCCAAGCUGAAAAUAAACUAUUUCUUCAAUGGUUAAGUUUAGAAGUAGGACAAGGAGGUUCUUGUCACCUCAGCAUGUUAGGAACAUUAAAAGAGUUAAUGGGAUUACACAGCAUGAAAGCAGCUCCCAGAUCUAGUGGUGACAGACUAAGAGUAAUACUGAUAAAUAACAAAUAUGCUCCUUAGAGCUAUUAUUGGAUUAAAUGCUGAUAUUAUUUUUUAUAACUAUGCCUUUGUCUUUGAAAAAAGCUACUAAAAAGAGAGAAGCAUUAGAAGUAUGUUUUUUGAAAAAGAUAAGAAAUGGACAUUAACUUUCUCUUUGUGUUAUUUUUAGAUAGAGAAACACUUUUUGUGGACUUAGACUCUUGAGUCUCUGGGUAGAUAUCUUGAUUGUCUCAGAUAGUACUGUUUUGCUGAUGUAUUUGAUAUUCCAGAAUCAUUUCGCAUUGGAACCUUGUUUUCAUCUCCUGACUGGAUACAACAUGAAGCCUUUGGAUCUGGCACACUGAAAAAUCAAAAUGAUCAGACAACGUAACCAAAAACUUCAGCUCAGAAUACCACAAGCUGACGCUAGCCUGAAGAGUACAGUGCUCUGCUCUCAUCCUGCCUUCACCAGUACAAUUUAUUCCCUGAAAGUAACAGCCAAAUCUCCUACAUCAUGAGUUUGACUGGCACUUAAAAAAAAAAAAAAAAAAAAAAAAAAAAAAAAAAGUCUAUCCAACACUAUUUAAUGACUGUUCAUGGUGUUCUUUGAAUGCUUAAACUGUUUUUCCAAUUCAUACAGAUACCCUAAAUUCUUCCUCAGUUAAUAGGAAAUGGAGGAAACUUGAGAUGUAUUUUAAUUUAUGAAAAUUCUAUCAAAAAAGCAGGAUUGUAUCUCAUUGAGGUAGUUACUGAAAUGAAUGAAAGUGGAACUGUCCAUAUGAAUGGAAAAUUUGACUUUAAAUCAAAAUUUUAAUAAAAAGCAACUAAAGACUUAAAAAAAAAAAAAAAAAGCAAUAAUGCAAGUACAUAUGCAAAAUAGCAAGUCACAUCACCAUAGUAAGAAGUCUUUUUGUUAAAUGAGCUCAGUGGGAAAAUAAGAUUAGGCAGAAGAAUUAAAAAAGCAAAGGUGAGAUCACUCCUCAAAAAGGAAGGGGGGAAGGCAUUUUGAGCAGUUUUUCUUCUAUGAAUUUCACUUAAUCUCUUAAAGAAAGAAUGUUUACAUUAAGAUUUUUUUUCAAAACCAAUGAAAAAAGAAUUAAGGCAGAGAAAACUGUGUAAUCCAAGUAGUACACGAGGCAGCAUAUGCCACCGUUCCUCAUUACCUCAUGCUGUGAACAAGUGCAAAGUAAGUAAGACUCCCUUGGAAAAACUGGGUAGUUUAAGAAUUGGCCUACUGAAUAAAUGGAAAUGUGGGUAAGUGUUGCAAAACUUUCCCUAACUUAGGUGACAGAGGAAAUGAAGUUAACUUAGUUUCAGUAAAACACACGUUUCUUAAAAACAAGACAAACACCCAAACCUUAAGUGCCUGAAAAUAAAUUUGAUUCAGCUUGGAUAUUACUGUUGUUAUGUCACGACCACACCCAAAUCUGGUCUGCUCAUAUAUCUCUUUGCAUCCUUGCAGAGCUUCAUUGACUUAAGUUUUAGCAGAUUUGUUUUAUCAAUGCAUAAAUCUACUGGACACUGUGAACCAUGAAAAUUGUGAUUUUAUAAUUACAGGACUUACCUAAAAAGACAUUCCUUGUUUUUCUUUUCUUUUAACAGUGCAAUGCUAGGAUUCUUUGAAUAUGACAUUCCAAAUUCGGUGUCAUCCAAGUCAUCCCGGCUGUCCACAGCCUUUACCAAAGCUUGACCCCAUCGUCUCCUGCAGCUUUUAAGACCUACUGCACCAUUUUGAGUGCUACUAGCUGCUUGUUUCUGUUUUAAAUAAGGAAAAAAAAAAGCUUCAAUUCAGUUCUCAAACUUUGUAUUUUACAUCUAGUUCACUUCCUGAAUACACAUGAAGAACUUUGAGAAUUUUUUCCCUUGUGUUUUGUGUGUAUUUUGGUUUGAGUCUCAGAAUUAUUUUGAUACAAAACAUAUAACAACAUCGAGAGGUAUUUUGAGUGUAGCUCAGCUGGAUUGUCAACCUUAAAUUGCCCAAAUCUAUGUGAAGCUAAUGUUCUAUUUGCAGGUCCAAUUCAGCCCUGAGGCUCUACUGCUACAGAACCUACAAGAACUACAGAGCCUGUGUUCUUGACUGUGGAAGAUAAACUGUCAGGAGUGGGGUAGCAUGGUGCAGACCCUUCAGGGCAAUCAUGCUCAAGGUUUGGAGUGCCAAUUGCUAUGGUCCCAAAGUAGGUAUAUCUAUCUUUCAGAAGUCAGUUAGGCCUUUCCUUAACAUUUUCUGCCAAACAAACAAUUAGAUUAUAAAGCUGUUCUUUCACCCGACUGUAGUUUGCUUUCCAGUAUCUUCUGAAUAUCUGUUAUUUUUAACAUACUUCAUAUUGUAGUUCAGUGAGCAUGAGUGGAAAGCCAAAUGAAGGGCACCUUUCUAUUUUUAUUUCAAAAACAUUUUAGAUACUCUUAAGAUUUCAAACCAAAGUUUAAUAUGCAUCUUGCUAAAAAUCUUUCUUUUAAAUUCUGACAAGUUCAGGAAUUUAAAAGAAGUGGUGAGUUUCCUGUGAUUUACAGGUGCUCCUCACUUUGUAGCUAUUCACUAAUAGGCAGUAGUAAGAGAACUAAUGUCCUAAAAAAGCCUCUAAGCUUUCUCAGGUAUCUUCUUGCAUGAGGCAAAGGAAUUUCUAGCUUUCCAUUUGUUUAAUGUAUACUACCAAUAUUUUGUGAAUUGUUUCUCAAAGGUUAAUAAGUGAUAGCUGUUAAAACCGUGUUACCAUAUAUGUCAGUAAAGGGUAUUAUACAUAAGCAUACAUUGUUGUUACAAGCAAUCUGUUCUUCUGAUGUGCUGUAAAAUUUUAAUAAAUGUCUGGUUUUGUUAUAAUUUUUAAUUAAUCCCUAAUUAUCUAUUCAUAAUUCCUCUAAUAAGGAAUAUGACAAUUUUCAAGGGAUGUACUGGUUGUAUAUAGUAAGAGCUUGUAAUAGAAUCACCUGUCUAAAUUAGCUAUUACUGAAAACAACUUACUGGUGAUGAGUUUUUAAUGAGAGCUGGAAAAAAUGGUUGUGUCUGUGGCUGCUGCUGUUUUGAUAUUUGUUGGUUAACUGUAUUCUGAGGCAACUGAAUUUGCUGGAGAGGUGAGUGGUCAGCCUUUAACAGGGGCUGUGGCUGUGUUUUGUCAGGUACAUCAGGUGAAGACAGAAGUUCUAGCUUGGCUACAGCUUCCAGUUUGGGUAGAGUUGGCUUUGGCUCUGUUGGCUGUACUGGUUUAAGAGGAGUUUGCUUCUCCAAAUAUUGUGAAGGAGGUCCUAGAACUUGGCCAACUUGAAAGUAAGGGUACUUCAAAGCCUGGAAAAGAAGAUACAAUUAUACUUCAAAAAGUUAAUUUCAGUAACCACAUCAAGGAUCUAAGCAGGUUUUUGAAGCGUAUGAGGAAGUUCUACAGCACAGAUGCAAGAUGUAUGCAUAAUGAGAUCAUAUGUAAACAGUAUGUACAGAAAGCUGUCAGUUUUGUAUGUUAAGCUCUUCUCGUAUAAUUCAGUAAGAUGAAUACACUUGUACAAGUUAGAGCAGUCAUGUACUUUUUUCCUCUUUUACUUCUAGGUUUUGUAGGCUUUGAUUUUUGGGAUGCAUACUUAACAGCUAAUGCUUAUAUAUUAUGGAAAUAGCCAAUCUAGAAAUAUUUAGAAUAAACAAAUAGCUUACUCAGUUAAAGAGGAUUUCUGCAUUCAUGUAGUAACAUAUUUCCAUCCAAAGAUGUAAUCUCCACUACAAUAUUAAAUCCUCAGGGCUUUACUGCACGCUUCCAAACCUAACUGUCUUUUGGUGAUUCCUGAUUCUUCCUUGUUACUCAAUGAACAGCCUGACUUUUCUUUUUAACAGAAGUGUGAUGGUUGCCUUUCAAUAUUAAUGUCUGGGUUUUGCAAUUAGAAUUUGUUAAUGAUUAAAAUUUCUCCUUCAUUUUCAUAUUA
Molecule: long non-coding RNA, 4403 nt
Organism: Dromaius novaehollandiae (emu)
Lineage: Eukaryota; Metazoa; Chordata; Aves; Casuariiformes; Dromaiidae
Exons: 2
Source: RefSeq, a predicted model, not a curated record